This 889-nucleotide ribosomal RNA is filed under the name uncultured bacterium. Its description in RNAcentral is "bacterial SSU rRNA". It matches the Rfam family "Bacterial small subunit ribosomal RNA", at positions 76 to 957 of the family's 1533-position model. The record is from RNAcentral.
GGGGGCACCCUGGCGGCGAGCGGCGAACGGGUGAGUAAUACAUCGGAACGUGCCCAGUGGUGGGGGAUAGCCCGGCGAAAGCCGGAUUAAUACCGCAUACGACCUGAGGGUGAAAGGGGGGGAUCGCAAGACCUCUCGCCGUUGGAGCGGCCGAUGUCGGAUUAGCUAGUUGGUAGGGUAAAGGCCUACCAAGGCGACGAUCCGUAGCUGGUCUGAGAGGAUGAUCAGCCACACUGGGACUGAGACACGGCCCAGACUCCUACGGGAGGCAGCAGUGGGGAAUUUUGGACAAUGGGGGCAACCCUGAUCCAGCCAUUCCGCGUGAGUGAAGAAGGCCUUCGGGUUGUAAAGCUCUUUCGGCAGGAACGAAACGGUGGGCUCUAACAUAGCCUGCUAAUGACGGUACCUGAAGAAGAAGCACCGGCUAACUACGUGCCAGCAGCCGCGGUAAUACGUAGGGUGCGAGCGUUAAUCGGAAUUACUGGGCGUAAAGCGUGCGCAGGCGGUUUCGUAAGACAGAUGUGAAAUCCCCGGGCUUAACCUGGGAACUGCGUUUGUGACUGCGAGACUAGAGUGUGGCAGAGGGGGGUGGAAUUCCACGUGUAGCAGUGAAAUGCGUAGAGAUGUGGAGGAACACCGAUGGCGAAGGCAGCCCCCUGGGUUAACACUGACGCUCACGCACGAAAGCGUGGGUAGCAAACAGGAUUAGAUACCCUGGUAGUCCACGCCCUAAACGAUGCCAACUAGGUGUUGGGGGAAGGAGACUUCCUUAGUACCGUAGCUAACGCGUGAAGUUGGCCGCCUGGGGGAGUACGGUCGCAAGAUUAAAACUCAAAGGAAUUGACGGGGACCCGCACAAGCGGUGGAUGAAGGUGGAUUAAUUCGAUGC